Molecule: long non-coding RNA, 306 nt
Filed under: Ananas comosus (pineapple)
Lineage: Eukaryota; Viridiplantae; Streptophyta; Magnoliopsida; Poales; Bromeliaceae
Description: long non-coding RNA (ACOM_LNC024294)
Source: RNAcentral
GAUGAGCAAAUGUAUAAAUGAUGUAUAAAUAUAAAUGUCAUAUGUUUUGGAGGAUCAUGUGAUGUUUAUAUGAAAGAAAAGAAUGAAUGUAGUUGUAAUAUGCUUGUAUUUGAUUUCAUGUAAUCAAGAUACAUGAAUGGAUGUGAUAGUUGUAGAACUUUCACUUUUGGUUGUUGCUUGCCUUCGAGUAAGCCAUGUAUAUCUAUGUUUCCGCUUACGCAAAUUAUAUACAUGUUGAUAUUGUGUUGAGCCUUGGGCGGACAAGGAAAGUGAUGUCCGUCCGGCGUCUGUUGGCGUGCCCGAACC